UUUCAAUGUUGAGUUUCUUAAGGGGUACUCCACAACCAGAAAUUUGUGGGCAAGUCUUUAGAUAACUGGGCUAUGGUGUUCUUGAUCCAACAAAUUUUCUAGGUGGUUUGGAGAGGUCUCAAGACUCUUGGGCCUCUGUACAGAUCCUUUCAUGUUUCUUCAUACAACCACUCUGCCUGCCAAAUCAACAGACGCCUUGGGUUGUGGAUUUGAUCAAGAGGCUCUCGAAAAAUGUGAGAACUGAGAAGGAAAGAGCAGAAAAGACCAGAACUAUUUUUUGCGCAGAAAAUAUGAGAGCCACAACAAUUCAAUAAUUCAGAUGGGGAUAAGGGUUCAAGAAUUUGUUUCCACAAAAAAAAAAAGUAAAAUUUUGAUGGAGAAUUAAAAACAAAAAUGUCAACUUCUUGC
RNAcentral lists this unclassified non-coding RNA (408 nucleotides) under Hevea brasiliensis (rubber tree). The record is from RNAcentral. Lineage: Eukaryota; Viridiplantae; Streptophyta; Magnoliopsida; Malpighiales; Euphorbiaceae.